Molecule: long non-coding RNA, 2079 nt
Organism: Homo sapiens (human)
Lineage: Eukaryota; Metazoa; Chordata; Mammalia; Primates; Hominidae
Product: long intergenic non-protein coding RNA 1234
Source: Ensembl
AUGGGAGAGGGGAUGUGGCACUGUCGUUGGCCUUGGGUCACCUGCCUCUCCCACAAGUUGGGGGUGGAGUCAGCUACAUCAAGGCCACCUGGCCUGAGAGGGAGCAAGCUGCGGUUCCCCUAAAAGAACUGGAGUGCUUCUCACAUAACAAGGAGUCAAGUACGAGUCACAGACGUCCUCUACAAGUGAGAUCAUCGUGUACUGUUAAUUUUAGGUGCUAGCCAGGAUCACUCCCUCCGAAGUCACACCAGAGGGAGGGCUGGAGGGAGAAUCAAAUGAAAGAGAGAGGGAGAGAAAGGAAGGAAGAGAAGGAGGGAGAAUGGAAGGAUGUAUGGAUUUGGAUGUAUGGGUUCCAUUCCUUCUACCCUGGCAAAAGCUUACUCAUCCUUCAGUGUCCAUCCAAAAUGGCAUCUCUUCUUGGGCACCAUCUCCAGAGUCUCCUGCAAGCAGGUAGCUACAUCCCACAAAACAACCACCCAUCUGACCAUGCAAGUGUGUGGGGGAAUGAAGACCAGCCCAGGAAUCUGAGAUGAAUGUUUUGCUUCUUGCUCUGCCACUGACUCACAGGGUACCCCAAGCAAGUCCCUUCACCUCCUCGGUCUCAGUUUCUCCAUUUAUACUACUAAGGCAGUGGACAUGAUGGCCUCAAGUCUCAACAUUUUUAUUCCCUGAAAAGAAACUCUUGGUGCUGAGUGGUCUUCUUCUGCCCUGACAUCUCACCUUUCAAACGCUUGUCUCUUCUCACCCCACCCACCACUUAGCAUGUGCUCUUGGAGAACACCCAGGACUCAGGGUCUCUGCACACAUCAUGAGUCCAGCUCAGCAUUUGAGGUGGAAUCAGAGGAAAGGAAGGAGAGUGGGGAGAAUAGUCAGUAUUUUGGCAAGCUCAUCAUACCUUCCCCCUUUGUAUAGAAACUUCAAACCAUUUCCCUUUGAAGGCACUACCUCCUUCCCCCAGUUAUAAAUGAGUGAAGGUCUCAAGCCUGGACAACCAAAUGCACAGUGAUUGGUUCAACUCUGGACCUGUGACUCAAGCCAGACCAAGGGAGUGACAUGCAGGGCUUUGCCUGGAACUAUUCUGAAAGGGGCACUCUCUUUCUGCUGGGCUACUGAUAAUAUGUGCAUCCGUGAUAGAAGAGCCUGCCUGAUAAUAAAGCCAAUAAGGGAAGAGCAGAGCCAAGAGAUGGUGGGAGAGCAGAUGCCUGAAAAUAUCAUUUGAGCCCCUGGGUCCAGCUGCACCUGAAGCCACCACGAUCUCCUGGACUUUGCAGUUACUUGAGUUCAUAAAUACCCUUUGGCAUUAAGCCAGAUUGAGUCUUAAUGCAUAUAGAAAUAAGAGAAAUGAGAAAAGAAAUUGAAAAGAGAGACAGCAGAGAACUGAUUCUCUACUAGAGCCUCCAGAAGGAAUCAACUCUGCCAACACCUUGAUUUUGGACUUGUGGCCUUCAGAACAGUGAAAUGAUAAACAUCUGUUAUUUUAAGGUACCUAGUGUGUAACAUUCCGUCAUGACAGCCCUAGGAAAUGAAUACAGCGAGGAAAAUCCUACCAGCACAAAGGCAUGGAGGUGCCAGGAUGUCUCCUCUGCGUGAAGAGUAGAUGUAGAUGAGGCUGGAAUUAUCUAUCCUAGCUGCCCAGACCCAUGUGCCUUUGUUUUAUGUAGUUACAGCACCUAUGAUACAUAUUUGUUACCAUGUAUGUCACUAUGAACCUCCUCUGGAGGACGGAGAAGUCAAAUACCUUAAUUAUUCCAACACAAGCUUGCGUGAACAGAUAAUCAUCACUACGAGUAUAUUGUGUGCCUGCUAAGCACCACACCUGAGAUAAGCAUUUGCUGUGGUUUGAAUGUCCCCUCCAAAGCUCAUGCUAAAAUUUAAUUGCCAUUGCAACAGUGUUGCAAGGUGAGAACUUUAAGAGAUGAUCAGGUCAUGAGAACUCUGCCCUCGUGAAUGGAUUAAUACCCUUAUCGCAGUAGUGGACCCCCCUUUUCUCUUGCUGUCUGUCUCUCAUGUUAGCUUGUGCUUCCUCCUUUCACCAUGGGAUAACACAGCAAGAAGCCCCUCACCAGAUGCUGGCACCUU